CUGCCCUGAACUCCUAGUCCAGGCUUUAAAAAAGAGCCAUAAAAAUGCCAUCCCACUGAUGAGCCUCUGGAGCAAGGGAGGUGUGCCUUGACCAUCCUGGAAAAACAUCAUCUCCACCCUACCUAUACUUAUCUCCUUGGCUCGCUUCUGGCCAAAGGUCCACACUUGGUCUGAACCUAUUGCAUGCAGAGCUUUGCCACAGAUGUCCCUGUACUGAGGGGCUCUGGCUGGUUGGGAUGUUCGAAGGGACAGCUGUGGAUGCUGUUUAUUGGCCUGAAAUGUGGAACCAGUGUGGAGAAGGCAAGACAGGCUAGGUUGACGUCAGAUGUAGGCUUUUCAUUUUUAUUUUUUGAGAAAGGGUCUUGCUCUGUCACCCAGGCUUGAAGGAUUGAGUGCAGUGGCGCAUCAUAGUUUACUGCAGCCUUGAACUCCUGGGCUCAAGCGAUCCUCCUGCCUUAGCCUCUCAAGUAGCUGGGACUAUAGGCACGUGCCACCAUGACCAGCUAAUUAGAAAACAUUUUUC
This 523-nucleotide long non-coding RNA is filed under the name Homo sapiens (human). Its description in RNAcentral is "non-protein coding lnc-PEX26-2:1". The record is from RNAcentral. Lineage: Eukaryota; Metazoa; Chordata; Mammalia; Primates; Hominidae.